RNAcentral lists this ribosomal RNA (497 nucleotides) under uncultured bacterium. RNAcentral's name for it is "partial 16S ribosomal RNA". It matches the Rfam family "Bacterial small subunit ribosomal RNA", at positions 28 to 507 of the family's 1533-position model. The record is from RNAcentral.
GAUGAACGCUGGCGGCGUGCCUAAUACAUGCAAGUCGAGCGAACAGACGAGGAGCUUGCUCCUCUGACGUUAGCGGCGGACGGGUGAGUAACACGUGGAUAACCUACCUAUAAGACUGGGAUAACUUCGGGAAACCGGAGCUAAUACCGGAUAAUAUAUUGAACCGCAUGGUUCAAUAGUGAAAGACGGUUUUGCUGUCACUUAUAGAUGGAUCCGCGCCGCAUUAGCUAGUUGGUAAGGUAACAGCUUACCAAGGCAACGAUGCGUAGCCGACCUGAGAGGGUGAUCGGCCACACUGGAACUGAGACACGGUCCAGACUCCUACGGGAGGCAGCAGUAGGGAAUCUUCCGCAAUGGGCGAAAGCUUGACGGAGCAACGCCGCGUGAGUGAUGAAGGUCUUCGGAUCGUAAAACUCUGUUAUUAGGGAAGAACAAAUGUGUAAGUAACUAUGCACGUCUUGACGGUACCUAAUCAGAAAGCCACGGCUAACUACGUG